This 235-nucleotide ribosomal RNA is filed under the name uncultured Glomus. Its description in RNAcentral is "partial 18S ribosomal RNA". The stretch from base 42 to 235 matches the Rfam family "Eukaryotic small subunit ribosomal RNA", at positions 689 to 884 of the family's 1831-position model. Lineage: Eukaryota; Fungi; Glomeromycota; Glomeromycetes; Glomerales; Glomeraceae. The record is from RNAcentral.
AGAUCAGUAUGUCGGUCGUGCUUCGGUACGUACUGUCAUUACUGGUUUCUCUCUUCUGACGAACCAUGAUGUCAUUAAUUUGGUGUCUUGGGAAAUCAGGACUGUUACUUUGAAAAAAUUAGAGUGUUUAAAGCAGGCAUACGCUUGAAUACAUUAGCAUGGAAUAAUGAAAUAGGACGUUUGAUUCUAUUUUGUUGGUUUCUAGGAUCGACGUAAUGAUUAAUAGGGAUAGUUG